CCUGUCCUAUAUAAACGGUCUUUUCAGAGUUGGGAGACUGACAAAAGUUGGUGCGAGUGAGUAUAGCAGCGACACAAACAAUGGAUGCAGACUACGGUAUACCUCGAGAACUUUCUGAUUUGCAAAAGCUUCGAUCUCAAUACCAGCCUGAACUUCCUCCUUGUCUUCAGGGUACUACUGUCCGGGUAGAGCUCCGUGAUGCAACCACUGCGGCAGAUCCUUCUGGUGAACACACAAUUAAACGGUUCUUCCCACACACUUAUGGUCAGCCGUUAGCCCAUUUUCUUAGGGCAACUGCCAAGGUCCCUGAUGCUCAGAUAAUUACUGAACAUCCUGUAAUUAGGGUUGGGGUGCUAUUUUGUGGUAGACAAUCUCCUGGAGGACACAAUGUGCUAUGGGGUCUUCAUGAUGCUCUUAAGGUUCACAACCCCAAUAAUACCUUGCUUGGGUUUUUGGGUGGUUCUGAAGGUUUAUUUGCGCAGAAAACUCUAGAGAUCACCAAUGACGUUCUUGCUACCUAUAAGAAUCAAGGUGGAUAUGACAUGCUGGGACGGACAAAAGAUCAAAUUAGAACGACUGAGCAAGUAAAUUCUGCAAUGGCUGCAUGCAAAGCUUUGAAAUUGGAUGGCCUUGUCAUUAUUGGAGGAGUGACAUCAAACACUGACGCUGCUCAGCUGGCAGAAAAAUUUGCAGAAGCAAAAUGCCCUACAAAAGUGGUUGGUGUUCCUGUUACAUUAAAUGGGGAUCUCAAGAAUCAGUUUGUUGAAGCAAAUGUUGGCUUUGACACAAUAUGCAAGGUUAACUCCCAACUCAUUAGCAAUAUGUGCACUGAUGCACUCUCAGCAGAGAAGUAUUACUAUUUCAUCAGACUCAUGGGGCGAAAGGCAUCACAUGUUGCCUUAGAAUGCACUCUGCAGUCACAUCCUAAUAUGGUGAUUCUUGGUGAGGAGGUAGCUGCGUCGAAGCUAACUCUCUUUGACAUCACAAAACAAAUUUGUGAUGCAGUUCAGGCUAGGGCUGAACAUGGUAUUGAAACUACUAUGUCCUCAUUUGUCUGUAGAGUCAGUUUUUGAGUUUUGCAGUCAGCUGAUUAAGGAAAUUCAUGGUUUACUCAGGCAAGGUGUUUCUGCUGAUAAGAUUUCCUCCCAACUAUCACCAUGGGCUUCUGCACUUUUCGAGUUCUUGCCGUAUUUUAUCAGAAAGCAGCUUCUCCUGCACCCAGAAUCAGAUGACUCUGCUCAGCUAUCACAGAUUGAGACUGAGAAACUUAUAGCUCAUCUCGUUGAAACAGAAAUGAACAAGCGAUUGAAAGAAGGAACUUACAAAGGAAAGAAAUUUAAUGCUAUUUGCCAUUUCUUUGGUUAUCAAGCAAGGGGUUCAUUGCCAUCAAAAUUUGAUUGUGACUAUGCCUAUGUACUUGGCCAUGUUUGCUACCAUAUUUUGGCUGCUGGUCUUAAUGGUUACAUGGCUACUGUGACCAACUUGAAAAAUCCGGUCAACAAGUGGCACUGUGGUGCUGCUCCCAUAUCUGCCAUGAUGACUGUUAAGCGCUAUGGUCGUGGCCCCGGCAAAGCAUCAAUUGGAGUACCUGCUUUGCAUCCUGCUACUGUAGAUUUGAAAGGCAAAUCAUACGAGCUGUUGAGUCAAAAUGCGACAAAGUUCUUGUUGGAUGAUGUUUACAGAAACCCAGGUCCCCUCCAGUUUGAUGGCCCUGGUGCAGAUGCCAAGGCCGUUACUCUUUGUGUUGAAGACCAGGAUUACAUGGGUCGUAUCAAAAAAUUGCAGGAGUACCUGGACAAGGUGCGCACAAUUGUGAAGCCUGGAUGCUCACAAGACGUCCUGAAAGCUGCAUUAAGUGCCAUGGCUUCUGUGACCGACAUUCUUUCAGUGAUAUCCUCACCCUCAAGUGGGAGCACACCAUUUUAAAUGAGAACUAUCAUCUUUUAACAUUGAGAUUGCUUUGCUUUUCUUUUAUUCCCCUCCAAGGUUCUCUUCUUGAAUUCAGGGGAAACUUGACUUAGAUGCAGAGCAGUUAGUUGAUUGUGUGAUAAUAUCGGUUUCCAUC
This is a non-coding RNA of Nicotiana tabacum (common tobacco), 2065 nucleotides long. The record is from RefSeq and is a predicted model, not a curated record. Lineage: Eukaryota; Viridiplantae; Streptophyta; Magnoliopsida; Solanales; Solanaceae.